UUUCCGUAGGUGAACCUGCGGAAGGAUCAUUAUUGGAUUUUGAAACUUCAGGCUGCUGCUGGCUCUCCUCGGAGGGCAUGUGCACGCUUGUUGUCCAUUAUUUCUCCCACUGUGCACAAAUUGUAGAUCUUUCAGUAGGCCUAUGUUGUUUUUCACAAUCUCUGAAUGUAAUAGAAUGGUUUUGAAUCUUGGGAAAUACAAUACAACUUUCAGCAACGGAUCUCUUGGCUCUC
RNAcentral lists this unclassified non-coding RNA (233 nucleotides) under plant metagenome. Its description in RNAcentral is "partial contains small subunit ribosomal RNA, internal transcribed spacer 1, and 5.8S ribosomal RNA". The record is from RNAcentral.